This is a transfer RNA of Toxocara canis (dog roundworm), 72 nucleotides long. It matches the Rfam family "tRNA". From Rfam's summary of the family: Transfer RNA (tRNA) molecules are approximately 80 nucleotides in length. Their secondary structure includes four short double-helical elements and three loops (D, anti-codon, and T loops). The record is from Rfam. Lineage: Eukaryota; Metazoa; Nematoda; Chromadorea; Rhabditida; Toxocaridae.
GCGGCAAUAACUCAGUGGUAGAGCCCCCGCUUCGCGUGCGGGGCGACCCGGGUUCGAUUCCCGGUUGCUUCC